GUCCACGCCCUAAACGAUGUCAACUGGUUGUUGGACGGCUUGCUGUUCAGUAACGAAGCUAACGCGUGAAGUUGACCGCCUGGGGAGUACGGCCGCAAGGUUUAAACUCAAAGGAAUUGACGGGGACCCGCACAAGCGGUGGAUGAUGUGGUUUAAUUCGAUGCAACGCGAAAAACCUUACCUACCCUUGACAUGUCUGGAAUCCUGAAGAGAUUUAGGAGUGCUCGAAAGAGAACCAGAACACAGGUGCUGCAUGGCCGUCGU
Molecule: ribosomal RNA, 264 nt
Filed under: uncultured bacterium
Lineage: Bacteria
Description: partial 16S ribosomal RNA
Rfam family: Bacterial small subunit ribosomal RNA
Source: RNAcentral